UACGAAGGGGGCUAGCGUUGUUCGGAAUUACUGGGCGUAAAGCGCGCGUAGGCGGCGCAGCAAGUCAGGGGUGAAAUCCCGGAGCUUAACUCCGGAACUGCCUUUGAAACUGCUGUGCUGGAAUCUCAGAGGGGAUAGCGGAAUUCCAAAUGUAGGGGUGAAAUCCGUAGAUAUUUGGAGGAACACCGGUGGCGAAGGCGGCUAUCUGGAUGAGUAUUGACGCUGAGGCGCGAAAGCGUGGGGAUCAAACAGG
This 253-nucleotide ribosomal RNA is filed under the name uncultured bacterium. RNAcentral describes it as "partial 16S ribosomal RNA". It matches the Rfam family "Bacterial small subunit ribosomal RNA", at positions 524 to 776 of the family's 1533-position model. The record is from RNAcentral.